This 443-nucleotide long non-coding RNA is filed under the name Homo sapiens (human). RNAcentral's name for it is "HSALNT0170243". The record is from RNAcentral. Lineage: Eukaryota; Metazoa; Chordata; Mammalia; Primates; Hominidae.
UUUUAGGAGGCGCUUUGUGAAGAUAAAAGCUGACCAUGUUGCCCGCAGCAUGCUUGUCACACGGAUAUCUGCACACAUGAGCUCCAGGCUUCAUCACGUGGUGCUUACGUGUGCUUGGCCAGGACCACUUAUUUUAUGCAAUUGAAGUGCACAAGGCCCAUACCGCAGGGGGAAAUGGGCAGCGCUGCUGUUUGGAGAACUGUGGGCUUCGCCGCUGGUGAGAAACCACAGCCCUGAGAUCUGAUCUUCCCUCGAGUUUCCAGACUGAAAUACGCAACUGCUGAGCUGUGGAGAAAAGGCCCAUUUCCUAGAGAUGGUGGGAAAGGCUAUAAGAACAGAGUCCUUCUGUUUACACAAGCAUGAAUUGAAUUCUCAGCUGAUUGACAGUUCACAAAAAUAAACGCUCCAUACAUGUGCUGUGGGCAAAUUCCAUGGCAGUCCGG